GUUUGAUUCUGGCUCAGAAUGAACGCUGGCGGCGUGCCUAACACAUGCAAGUCGUACGAGAAAGGGGCUUCGGCCCUGAGUAGAGUGGCGCACGGGUGAGUAACGCGUGGGUAAUCUCCCCUUGGAUUUGGGAUAACUCUGCGAAAGUGGAGCUAAUACCGGAUAGUCUGGCUUUAAUUGAUAAGUCGGUAAAGGAUGCCUCUGCAUAUGCAUUCGUCCAAGGAUGAGCCCGCGUCUCAUUAGCUAGUUGGUAGGGUAAAGGCCUACCAAGGCUACGAUCUGUAGUUGGUCUGAGAGGACGACCAGCCACACUGGGACUGAGACACGGCCCAGACUCCUACGGGAGGCAGCAGUGGGGAAUUUUGGACAAUGGGCGCAAGCCUGAUCCAGCAAUGCCGCGUGCAGGAAGAAGG
Molecule: ribosomal RNA, 413 nt
Filed under: uncultured bacterium
Lineage: Bacteria
Description: bacterial SSU rRNA
Rfam family: Bacterial small subunit ribosomal RNA
Source: RNAcentral